Triticum aestivum (bread wheat) is the source of this 602-nucleotide long non-coding RNA. RefSeq lists it as uncharacterized. The transcript is spliced from 3 exons. NCBI's taxonomy places the organism in Eukaryota, Viridiplantae, Streptophyta, Magnoliopsida, Poales, Poaceae. The record is from RefSeq and is a predicted model, not a curated record.
GCAUGUGUGCGGCGGCGGGGACAGGCAACCACACGCAGAUUUUGGGGAGCGACACGAUGCCAAGGGAUUAUAGGCUUAUUAUUAUAUAGCAAGCAACCGUAGGUGGUGUAGACGAACAAUGUGAGAUGAGAAAGCCACAACGCUGGGGCCCAAAGAAUCAUACUGCAGCAGCAAUAGUCAGCCCAUGAUAAAUCUCUGUUGAGUGCUCCUUUCUCUUUACCUCUUUACUCUUGUGUCUCUGACUUUGAUUUCAUAGCAUAUGUUUUUAGCUUGACACCGUGUUUGCAGAUUUGAUAAAGAAGGGUAGAUGAAGAAUCUAUCAGAAGAUUUUGUUGAACGAAACUUGCAUUUUGAUGUUAUGAGUGUAUUAAUAUAUUCUGCAGUUUUAGGAAAUUAGAUAAUAGGACCGACUAAAGGAGAAUUUCGGUUAAACUAUUUCUUUAUUUGUUUGUGCAACCAAACUUAUUUGGUUCUGAUUGCAAGAUAAUAGGACCAGCUAACGGAGAACUUUUGCUAAAAUAUUUCUUUAUUUUUUGUGCAACCAUGGUUAAUUGGUUUUGAUUGAUUGGUGGACAUGCUGAAUAAUGGUAGUGUGCAUGUGU